Molecule: ribosomal RNA, 253 nt
Filed under: uncultured bacterium
Lineage: Bacteria
Description: partial 16S ribosomal RNA
Rfam family: Bacterial small subunit ribosomal RNA
Source: RNAcentral
UACGGACGGUGCGAGCGUUAAUCGGAAUUACUGGGCGUAAAGCGUGUGUAGGCGGCUUUGCAAGUCGGAUGUGAAAGCCCGGGGCUCAACCCCGGAAGUGCACUCGAUACUGCAGAGCUAGAGUUUCGGAGAGGUUGGUGGAAUUCUCGGUGUAGAGGUGAAAUUCGUAGAUAUCGAGAGGAACACCGGUGGCGAAGGCGGCCAACUGGACGAAAACUGACGCUGAGACACGAAAGCGUGGGGAGCAAACAGG